Molecule: long non-coding RNA, 248 nt
Filed under: Lathyrus oleraceus (garden pea)
Lineage: Eukaryota; Viridiplantae; Streptophyta; Magnoliopsida; Fabales; Fabaceae
Description: Pisum sativum (pea) long non-coding RNA (PSAT_LNC022238)
Source: RNAcentral
AAUACCAUUCCAUAAGCUUGAAUAAAUUCUCUUUUGAUUACUAGAUGCACAAGACACAGACUUUUUGAGGUCUUUCAUGGUUGUAACAGGGUUAGGGUUAAGGUGGGAUAAAUAUAUGGAUGAGUAGGAUGAUGGUUCAAAAUCAUUAUUACCAUUCUCCUCAUUAUGUUCAUUCUAAUUUAUCACUGCUAUAAUUCUUCUUGUACUUUCCCUUUUAGGGUUAGCUGUAAUGGACUAUUCAGCUUUUU